RNAcentral lists this ribosomal RNA (421 nucleotides) under uncultured bacterium. Its description in RNAcentral is "bacterial SSU rRNA". It matches the Rfam family "Bacterial small subunit ribosomal RNA", at positions 356 to 773 of the family's 1533-position model. The record is from RNAcentral.
GAGGAAUAUUGGUCAAUGGGCGCAAGCCUGAACCAGCCAUGCCGCGUGAAGGAUUGAAGGCCCUAUGGGUUGUAAACUUCUUUUGUACGGGACGAAACCCUUGGACGUGUCCGAGGUUGACGGUACCGUAAGAAUAAGCAUCGGCUAACUCCGUGCCAGCAGCCGCGGUAAUACGGAGGAUGCAAGCGUUAUCCGGAUUCACUGGGUUUAAAGGGUGCGUAGGCGGAAUUGUAAGUCAGUGGUGAAAGCCUGCGGCUUAACUGCAGAAUUGCCAUUGAUACUAUAGUUCUUGAGUAUGGUUGAGGUGGGCGGAAUGUGUAAUGUAGCGGUGAAAUGCUUAGAUAUUACACAGAACACCGAUUGCGAAGGCAGCUCACUAAGCCAUUACUGACGCUCAUGCACGAAAGCGUGGGGAUCAAAC